Molecule: long non-coding RNA, 296 nt
Filed under: Glycine max (soybean)
Lineage: Eukaryota; Viridiplantae; Streptophyta; Magnoliopsida; Fabales; Fabaceae
Description: long non-coding RNA (GMAX_LNC000257)
Source: RNAcentral
UCACAGUUACUUCCAACACACAUGGCCUCCAUUCCCCUCCUCUCACCACCCACCACCGCCACAAACUCCGCCGUCAGCCACCUACCCUCCUCCAUCACCUCCACCUCCAGCUCCUUCAAACCCCACGCCCUCCACCGCCGCCGCCUCACGCGGCUACACGUGUCCUCUCCCACCUCCUCCACCCCUUCCCCCACCACCACGACCACCUCCGGCGAGACCAUAUUCUUCGACGGCGGGGCCCACUACGGCGACCUCGCGGCGAACCUCCUCCUAGGUUUCACCCUCUUCUGGCUCCC